RNAcentral lists this ribosomal RNA (732 nucleotides) under uncultured bacterium. Its description in RNAcentral is "bacterial SSU rRNA". It matches the Rfam family "Bacterial small subunit ribosomal RNA", at positions 60 to 789 of the family's 1533-position model. The record is from RNAcentral.
AGUCGAGGGGUACGAUGUCUUCGGACAGUCGACGACCGGCGUACGGGUGAGUAUCGCNGUUUGUAACCUACCUUUAACUGGAGAAUAGCCCGAAGAAAUUCGGAUUAAUACUCCAUAAUACUAUGAUCUGGCAUCUUUUUAUAGUUAAAGCUCCGGCGGUUAAAGAUGGACAUGCGUAACAUUAGUUUGUUGGUGAGGUAACGGCUCACCAAGACUACGAUGUUUAGGGGGUCUGAGAGGAUGGUCCCCCACACUGGUACUGAGACACGGACCAGACUCCUACGGGAGGCAGCAGUGAGGAAUAUUGGUCAAUGGGCGAAAGCCUGAACCAGCCAUGCCGCGUGAAGGAUGACAGCGCUAUGCGUUGUAAACUUCUUUUGUACAGGAAGAAACACUUCUACGUGUAGAAGCUUGACGGUACUGUACGAAUAAGCAUCGGCUAACUCCGUGCCAGCAGCCGCGGUAAUACGGAGGAUGCAAGCGUUAUCCGGAUUUAUUGGGUUUAAAGGGUACGUAGGCGGAAAAUUAAGUCAGUAGUGAAAUCCUGCAGCUUAACUGUAGAACUGUUAUUGAUACUGGUUUUCUUGAAUAUAGUUGAGGUAGGCGGAAUGUGUAAUGUAGCGGUGAAAUGCUUAAAUAUUACACAGAACACCGAUUGCGAAGGCAGCUUACUAAGCUAUGAUUGACGCUGAGGUACGAAAGCGGGNGGAGCGAACAGGAUUAAAUACCCUG